Long non-coding RNA from Oreochromis niloticus (Nile tilapia), 315 nucleotides. RefSeq lists it as uncharacterized. NCBI's taxonomy places the organism in Eukaryota, Metazoa, Chordata, Actinopteri, Cichliformes, Cichlidae. The transcript has 2 exons. The record is from RefSeq and is a predicted model, not a curated record.
AACACUUCAAGCAGCAGAUCCAAAAGACCAAGAUUGAGAUUUUACUGCUGGAACAUCAGUUAAGGGAAAUACAGGCGACCAAUAAAGCCAGUUGAACAAAAAAUCUGUUUAUUCUUCUUUCAACAUGUUGAGGUGAUGGGUCAAAGGAAAUGAUUGUGACAUAUGGUGUCUCUGACUGCUCUUCCAUCUUGUAUGUCCGUGGGAGGGUCAGGAUGUUCAUGGUUUGGAUCACUGCUGAUGUUUGGUUCAGAAGGACAGUGUUCUCCUCUAAUUGUGGCAAUGUUGUGAAGAAUCACACAUGCCACAAUAAUGUCA